This is a long non-coding RNA of Pan paniscus (pygmy chimpanzee), 803 nucleotides long. NCBI's taxonomy places the organism in Eukaryota, Metazoa, Chordata, Mammalia, Primates, Hominidae. The record is from Ensembl.
GUCUCUCCUGGAGGUCCCCCACGCCCUUCACCACUCCUGUCCAUGGGAAGCACAGGAAGUGGACAAAGAGGCCCUACCUGGAGGGAGCUGCAUUUGGCCUUGGUGGGGCCUGAGCUCUGGACCCAGAAUAUAAAGAAUCUUUAUCUUUCAGCCACCUCAUCCUGACAGUGACAGGAGAACUGCCAGUCAGGGGAGGCAAAAAGGGACAGAGUGAGAGAGAAGCGAGAAGGCAGAAUGCAAAGGGAGAGAUCUGGUGACAAUGUCCUGGCAUCCUGGCACUCCAACAUGGCACGGUCUUGUUAUAUGAACAGGUUUCUGUCACAGCAGCACAAAACAGUCCAAGACAACAAAGUGCCUUGCAUGCCACAGUGAGGAAUUUGGGCCUUUUCUUGGGAUGCUGAGGAGCCUGUGGUUAGGUGGUGGACCACCUCAUCAAGUUUACAUUUUCAUAGAUCUAAGGGGAGAAGUUCAUCUCUUCUCUGCUGGUCCCAACCACAAGAACUUCUCAUUACCAAGUUACCCCUUAGGUGGAGGAAGCUGGUCUGCAGUAAGAAAUAAUAAAAUCAACAACGCAUGCAAGAGAAACUGUAAUACAUAGUGGGAAAAGGCAUGUGAGUCCUGGAAAUGUUCACGCCCUGACCCCUGACCCCUGAUCCAGCCUGCAGACCCAGCAGAAGCCCUCCCAGGUCACAGGAGGCUCCUUACUCAUCCUUCACAGACAUUCUCCUUUCUGCCUGAGCAGAUUUGAGCUGGGUUUCUCUCACUUGCAAUGAAACAAUUUCUAAUCAAAACAGCAAUCAUCC